ACUCUCAUAACUUAAGUUUCCAUAUCAUUACUUCACCAGACAAAUUGAUUACUAAGGAAAUGAAUUAAAAUAGAAUUAAAAAAUGGAUUACUAAUGACAUUAACUAUAUAAUUUGCUAAGAAAAUUAAAAGAAUGAACUCACUAGAUCAGUAUUCAAACCUAGAAAACUAAAAAAAAAUAAAAGUCAUCCCUAUCACACCAAUUAAAUCAAUACCAUAAUGAUCCAGAAUAUUAACAAGAAGAACAAAAUAGAAAGACGGAAAUGAACCUUUGUAUUAAAGAGGCAAAUUCAUAAUCGAAAAUUGUCGCUAGAACAAACUGAAUAACAACCGGAUCUGAAGGUGACCACGCCAGGACCUCGGAUUGGCAGCUUCAACAUGCGACGAUCUCAAAGCACGCUAAGACUUAAUCAAAUUCCUUUUAAAAAAAAAUAUAAAUUGCAAUCAGAAAGAAGAAACAGAGUUGUACUGUUCUUGUAUAUUUUUUGAUUUUUUUUAAAUAUAGCAAAGGAACUUUUCUUGGACCCUCCCUUGGUCUCAAUUUUCCCCUUCCCUAUAAUUCUGUCCGAAACAAAUCUCUUUUCCCCCAAUUUUCCUCUAUCUCGUUUUCCACUUUUCCAUGAGUGUGUAUCCUUUUCUUUUUUUUGUGUUUGAGAUAAUGAAGAUUUGGUAAAAUUUAAAAGGGAGAAACGUUAGGUUCAGGGAGAUGUAAAAGGAAGCUUUCAUAAAAUUUCCUCUUUGUUUUUGGGAGGAUUCAGGGGUUCUGCCGC
Molecule: long non-coding RNA, 769 nt
Filed under: Nicotiana benthamiana
Lineage: Eukaryota; Viridiplantae; Streptophyta; Magnoliopsida; Solanales; Solanaceae
Description: long non-coding RNA (NBEN_LNC025270)
Source: RNAcentral